CUACGGGUUGCUGCAGCCGGGAAUUUUCCGCAAUGGGCGAAAGCCUGACGGAGCGACACCGCGUGAAGGAUGAAGGCCUUCGGGUUGUAAACUUCUUUUAUAUGGGAAGAAGGUAGCGUAAGCUACUUGACGGUACCAUACGAAUAAGCACCUGCUAACUACGUGCCAGAAGCCUCGGUAAUACGUAGGGUGCAAGCAUUAUCCGGAAUUACUGGGCGUAAAGAGUAUCGUAGGCAGUUUGGUAAGUGUGUAGUGAAAUCUUCGGGCUCAACCCGAAAACUGCUACGCAUACUGCCAGACUAGAGAAUAUCAGAGGAUGCUGGAAUUUUCGGUGGAGCAGUGAAAUGCGUUGAUAUCGAAAAGAACACCAAGGGCGAAGGCAGGCAUCUGGGAUACUUCUGACGCUGAUGAACGAAAGCUAGGGGAGCAAAAGGGAUUAGAUACCCCCGUAGUC
RNAcentral lists this ribosomal RNA (454 nucleotides) under uncultured bacterium. RNAcentral's name for it is "partial 16S ribosomal RNA". It matches the Rfam family "Bacterial small subunit ribosomal RNA", at positions 339 to 795 of the family's 1533-position model. The record is from RNAcentral.